CACGUAGGGUGCGAGCGUUGUCCGGAAUUAUUGGGCGUAAAGAGCUCGUAGGCGGUGUGUCGCGUCGGCCGUGAAAACCUGCAGCUCAACUGUGGGCUUGCGGUCGAUACGGGCAUCACUGGAGUUCGGCAGGGGAGACUGGAAUUCCUGGUGUAGCGGUGAAAUGCGCAGAUAUCAGGAGGAACACCGGUGGCGAAGGCAGCGAACUGGCGCUCGAUUGACGCUCAGGCACGAAAGCAUGGGGAUCAAACAGG
Molecule: ribosomal RNA, 254 nt
Filed under: uncultured bacterium
Lineage: Bacteria
Description: partial 16S ribosomal RNA
Rfam family: Bacterial small subunit ribosomal RNA
Source: RNAcentral